UACAGAGGGGGCAAGCGUUGUUCGGAAUUACUGGGCGUAAAGGGCGCGUAGGCGGCCUGUUAAGUCGAGCGUGAAAUCCCCGGGCUCAACCCGGGAACUGCGUCCGAUACUGGCAGGCUUGAAUUCGGGAGAGGGAUGCGGAAUUCCAGGUGUAGCGGUGAAAUGCGUAGAUAUCUGGAGGAACACCGGUGGCGAAGGCGGCAUCCUGGACCGAGAUUGACGCUGAUGCGCGAAAGCCAGGGGAGCAAACGGG
RNAcentral lists this ribosomal RNA (253 nucleotides) under uncultured bacterium. Its description in RNAcentral is "partial 16S ribosomal RNA". It matches the Rfam family "Bacterial small subunit ribosomal RNA", at positions 524 to 776 of the family's 1533-position model. The record is from RNAcentral.